GGGGGCGUAAAGGUUUCGACGGGGGUGUGGAAGUCGGAUAAGCGAGCCGCUGUUGGCCCAGUCAGCGUUAAACAGAGCCCGUUCAAAAGAAACGAUAAUUCUAGAAACAAUUUCGCAUUCGCAGCUUAAUUAGCUGCCCGCGCGUCGGCCUGAGCUCACCUGCAGGCUGAGGAUCCGGCGUCGACAUGCAGGAAACCUGAGGCGGGGUGUCCGGACCGCAGCAGGGCCAAUUCGGACUGGGGCGACCUUUAGCCUGCCUUUCGGCGACUGGAAACCCGAGACUUAAACGAAAGGCUGCGCUCGGAGAAAGUCGGGUGGAAAUGCUUUCGGACGUGAGUUCGAUUCUCACCGCCUUCACCA
Molecule: transfer-messenger RNA, 360 nt
Filed under: bovine gut metagenome
Rfam family: transfer-messenger RNA
About the family: Bacterial tmRNA, also known as 10Sa RNA or SsrA, is named for its dual tRNA and mRNA-like properties. Its role is to liberate the mRNA from a stalled ribosome. To accomplish this part of the tmRNA is used as a reading frame that ends in a translation stop signal.
Source: RNAcentral